AUCCAGCUGACGAGUGCCAAACAGGACGAAACGCGCUUCCUGAAU
Molecule: non-coding RNA, 45 nt
Filed under: Schistosoma margrebowiei
Lineage: Eukaryota; Metazoa; Platyhelminthes; Trematoda; Strigeidida; Schistosomatidae
Source: RNAcentral